Danio rerio (zebrafish) is the source of this 54-nucleotide non-coding RNA. NCBI's taxonomy places the organism in Eukaryota, Metazoa, Chordata, Actinopteri, Cypriniformes, Danionidae. The record is from Rfam.
CUUGUCCUCAUAUGUAUGUCGCUUUGGAUAAAAGCAUCUGCUAAAUGACUAAAU